Molecule: transfer RNA, 85 nt
Filed under: Felis catus (domestic cat)
Lineage: Eukaryota; Metazoa; Chordata; Mammalia; Carnivora; Felidae
Rfam family: tRNA
About the family: Transfer RNA (tRNA) molecules are approximately 80 nucleotides in length. Their secondary structure includes four short double-helical elements and three loops (D, anti-codon, and T loops).
Source: Rfam by way of RNAcentral
ACCUGGGAGGCUCAGUUGGUUGAGCAUCUGACUUGAACUCAGGUCAUGAUCUCACGGUUCAUGGGUUCGAGCCCCGUGUCAGGCU